CGCUUAGUGCGCCAGUUAAAGCUGGCGGAGGAUAGUCGAUGAAAGUUCGAUACUGGUAAGAAAUGGCGAAUCAACCAGCCCCCGAGUCAUGCACGUUGCACCGUGAGGUGCAGGGUGAAGCGUUGACAGGGGAAACCGAUGGGCCAGCCAUUGAGCCGCGUAAUCAGAAAUCCGGGACGCCGAUGCUGUUAAGCGAAGCAGAAGGCAAUACGGGGCAUGGCGUUAUACGCCAGUCAUGCCCUGGUCCUGCGCGGUCGGAGACCCUGCGCACGUCGGGAAGUCCUUCGCACAGAAACUGGGAGAUCUCAGUGAUGCCCGGUGCGCAUGCACUGGGCGGAGCAGGCAAGGCCAAAAGCUGUAACCCUGCUGUCUACGUCGCUGAGAAGUCGGAUACGUCCGUAGUACCUGAGAAACCGUCGAACAAAGGGGCUAGCCCUGCGGAGAGGGUGGAGGAAAGGGGCGUAGCCAAGGGGAACACCGACAAGAACCCCACGCCCCGGACGCUGAGCCGGAGCAGUUGCGUGUCGAUGGGACUUGAAGGUGUACGUGAAGCAGCCCGUAGGGACAAGGGUAUGCAGUUCACGGCAUUGUUGCACCACAUCACACCGCAACUGUUGGCGCAGAGCUUCUACGCACUUCGCCGCGACGCGGCGGUGGGAGUGGACGGUAUGUCGUGGCGAGAAUACGAAGAAGACCUCCACCAGAGGGUGGGCAAGUUGCACGCACGGCUCCACAGAGGAGCCUAUCGGGCAACGCCGUCACGGCGGGUAUAUAUCCCCAAAGCUGAUGGCAGGCAGCGGCCACUGGGUAUUGCCUCUUUGGAGGACAAGAUCGUACAGCAGGCAGUCGUCACCGUUCUGAAUGCGAUCUAUGAGGAGGAUUUCCAGGGGUUCUCGUAUGGGUUUCGGCCGGGACGAAGCCAGCACGAUGCGCUGGAUGCGUUGACGGUCGCGCUCAAGAGCCAGAAGGUGAACUGGAUACUGGACGCGGACAUCACGUCGUUCUUUGACGAGAUCGACCAUGAAUGGAUGCUGAUGUUUCUGGGGCACCGAAUUGCAGACCGACGCAUGCUCGGACUCAUCUGCAAAUGGCUUCAGGCGGGAGUAAUGGAGGAUGGCCGUAGGUUGGCUGCGACCAAGGGGACUCCCCAAGGCGCAGUGAUAUCGCCGUUGCUGGCGAAUAUCUAUCUUCACUACGUGCUGGAUCUGUGGGCAAGGCAGUGGCGCCAACGGCAUGCCCGUGGCGAGAUGAUUGUUGUGCGCUACGCGGACGACAGCGUGGUGGGUUUCAGGACGCAAUGGCAGGCGCAGCGUUUCCUGGUGCAGUUGCAGGAACGCAUGGCCAGGUUCGGUCUAUCUCUUAAUGCCUCGAAAACACGGCUGAUCGAGUUCGGUCGCUUUGCUGUACAGAAUCGCAGGCGGCAAGGGCUGGGCAAACCGGAGACGUUUGAUUUCCUGGGCUUCACUCAUUGCUGUAGUACCAACAGAAGCGGGGGAUUUCAAAUCCUGCGGCUGACGGUCAAGAAGCGGAUGCGUGCGACACUGCAAGCCAUCCGGAUAGCACUGAAUCGCCGGCGACAUGAGCCGAUCCGAGUCGUAGGUCAAUGGCUCGGCAGUGUGGUUGGAGGAUAUUUCAACUACCACGCCGUGCCGGGAAACCUGAUCCGUCUUGACGGUUUUCGGGUGGCGGUUUGCCGUCUUUGGCGGCAAGCCCUCAAACGGCGCAGCCAGCGUAACCGGCUCCAGUGGUCGCGCUAUGGACGCCUUGCAGACCUCUAUAUACCAAGACCCAGAACUGCACAUCCUUACCCUGAGGAGCGCUUCGCGUCACGUACCUGAGGCAGGAGCCGUAUGCGGUAGUUCCGCACGUACGGAUCUGUGCGGGGGGUGGCAGGUAACUGCCAUUCCUACCGCGAC
This 1916-nucleotide non-coding RNA is filed under the name Azotobacter vinelandii DJ. Lineage: Bacteria; Pseudomonadati; Pseudomonadota; Gammaproteobacteria; Pseudomonadales; Pseudomonadaceae. The record is from RNAcentral.